This 447-nucleotide ribosomal RNA is filed under the name uncultured bacterium. RNAcentral's name for it is "bacterial SSU rRNA". It matches the Rfam family "Bacterial small subunit ribosomal RNA", at positions 355 to 825 of the family's 1533-position model. The record is from RNAcentral.
UCGGGAAUUUUGGGCAAUGGGGGAAACCCUGACCCAGCAACGCCGCGUGAAGGAUGAAGUAUUUCGGUAUGUAAACUUCGAAAGAAUAGGAAGAAUAAAUGACGGUACUAUUUAUAAGGUCCGGCUAACUACGUGCCAGCAGCCGCGGUAAUACGUAGGGACCAAGCGUUGUUCGGAUUUACUGGGCGUAAAGCGUGCGCAGGCGGUUGUGUAAGUCAGAUGUGAAAUCCCCGGGCUCAACCUGGGAAUUGCAUUUGAGACUGCACGGCUAGAGUGUGUCAGAGGGGGGUAGAAUUCCACGUGUAGCAGUGAAAUGCGUAGAUAUGUGGAGGAAUACCGAUGGCGAAGGCAGCCCCCUGGGAUAACACUGACGCUCAUGCACGAAAGCGUGGGGAGCAAACAGGAUUAGAUACCCCAGUAGUCCCUGAGCGGGCUGGCAAGGCGCAU